UCUCCGUAGGUGAACCUGCGGAGGGAUCAUUACAAGUGACCCCGGUCUUACCACCGGGAUGUUCAUAACCCUUUGUUGUCCGACUCUGUUGCCUCCGGGGCGACCCUGCCUUCGGGCGGGGGCUCCGGGUGGACACUUCAAGCUCUUGCGUAACUUUGCAGUCUGAGUAAACUUAAUUAAUAAAUUAAAACUUUUAACAACGGAUCUCUUGGUUCUG
RNAcentral lists this unclassified non-coding RNA (217 nucleotides) under plant metagenome. RNAcentral describes it as "partial contains small subunit ribosomal RNA, internal transcribed spacer 1, and 5.8S ribosomal RNA". The record is from RNAcentral.